Non-coding RNA from Schistocerca nitens (vagrant locust), 78 nucleotides. The record is from the annotation of a RefSeq genome assembly. NCBI's taxonomy places the organism in Eukaryota, Metazoa, Arthropoda, Insecta, Orthoptera, Acrididae.
GACCGGACGACGUGGCGCAGUGGUUAGCGCAUCGGACUCGCAUUCCGAAGGACGACGGUUCAACCCCGCGUCCGGUCA